RNAcentral lists this ribosomal RNA (467 nucleotides) under uncultured bacterium. RNAcentral's name for it is "partial 16S ribosomal RNA". It matches the Rfam family "Bacterial small subunit ribosomal RNA", at positions 355 to 813 of the family's 1533-position model. The record is from RNAcentral.
UGGGGAAUUUUGGACAAUGGGCGAAAGCCUGAUCCAGCAAUGCCGCGUGUGUGAAGAAGGCCUUCGGGUUGUAAAGCACUUUUGUCCGGAAAGAAAUCCUUGGCUCUAAUACAGUCGGGGGGAUGACGGUACCGGAAGAAUAAGCACCGGCUAACUACGUGCCAGCAGCCGCGGUAAUACGUAGGGUGCAAGCGUUAAUCGGAAUUACUGGGCGUAAGCGUGCGCAGGCGGUUUGCUAAGACCGAUGUGAAAUCCCCGGGCUCAACCUGGGAACUGCAUUGGUGACUGGCAGGCUAGAGUAUGGCAGAGGGGGGUAGAAUUCCACGUGUGAGCAGUGAAAUGCGUAGAGAUGUGGAGGAAUACCGAUGGCGAAGGCAGCCCCCUGGGCCAAUACUGACGCUCAUGCACGAAAGCGUGGGGAGCAAACAGGAUUAGAUACCCUGGUAGUCCACGCCCUAAACGAUGUC